UGUUGUUAGUGAGAUGCAGGGGAUAACAAGGUUCAAGUACCCCAGGUCCAGCAGUUUCUGGGUGCUCUUUUGGUUGCCUAGCUCAGGGAAGCAUGAGUAAGUGAAGACUUGGUGGAAGUUGACAUGUUAUUUUCCUUUAUUCCUUUUCCAGGAGGAUGGGAUGAUGCAAAAUUGUUGGAGCUGGUGGGCAAGGUAGAAAGCUCCCAUUUUAAUUUUUAUCCUGGCCAGCCUUACCAACAUGUUGGACUGUGCCUUAAUGUUUUCCCCUCUCCUGCUGAGGUUCUCACCCCACAGCUCUCCUGCACCCUUUGUAUCUCUUGAAACACAAUACAGCAGAGCUUGAGUAGGAGGGGUUAGCACAGCUUCCUCUCUUGUUUACCAAAGAACUUCUUUUUUGCAUGACUGCCGCCAUGGCCACUAGUUCUAAUGUGUUAUUUAUCCUUUGCAAGGCAGAUGACUCCUAUUCAGGUGCUAUUUGUGCUGCUUCUCUGUUUCAGAGGCUGCGAUUUGUUCUAGGGUGAGGGCAUCUGGAUUUGUGCAGCAGCUGGUUUACUGCCUUUUAUUUAGAGGACCUACGGGACAUUUAUGGCUGCUGAAUCCAAGAGGCCCACUACCCAGCCAUCAUGGGCUUUCUUUUCCCCAAGCACCUGGCAAAGCUGGAGAGAGAACCGAGUUGAAGGUCGUGAAGAGUCCAGAAUGAUGCUAACAGCAUGUUAGGAGCUGUCCAGUGCUGAACAAAUACAGGGAAGGAGGCUGAUAAGGCUGAUGACGAGGAUGAAGAGGACAGCAGCAAUGAUGAUAAUACUGCUUUGCACAUGGAGUUGCUUGCUUUUUGAUGGACUGACUAGACACAGUUUCCCUAAAUGGAGUUGCCUAUCGCUUUCCUUCUAGAGUUUACCCAGAUAACCUUGGGUAAGAUACCUAGCUCUCUACAAUUAAUUCAUCUGUAAAAUGGGAAUAAUAAAGACCGCCAGGCAGUGUUGCUAUGAGAAUUGAAAUAGGUGAGUCAGUAGUUUUAAAAGUGCCCCAAAGAGUGCCUGGUCGUUAUUGGGAGCACUUACUCAUCAGCACUACUGGAACUCAAACUUAUGUAACUUUAGAGGGACUGUGAUGUUCCCCAGCUUGGAUAGGGUAGAAAGAGCACAGACUUUAUUUUGCUUGUUAAGCAACAUGUCACUACAUUUAAACUCUCUUUGAGCCUUUGUUUUCUCAUCUAUACAAUGGGAACAGCAAUGCUUACCUCACAAGAAUGUGUGGAUUAAAAUGGAAUUGUCUGUGGAGAGAGCUUAUCACAGUGCCUGACACUGGCAAGUGUUUGGUAAUAAAUAGCUCUCAUACCCUGA
Mustela lutreola (European mink) is the source of this 1343-nucleotide long non-coding RNA. RefSeq lists it as uncharacterized. Lineage: Eukaryota; Metazoa; Chordata; Mammalia; Carnivora; Mustelidae. The record is from RefSeq and is a predicted model, not a curated record. The transcript is spliced from 2 exons.